RNAcentral lists this ribosomal RNA (91 nucleotides) under Staphylococcus epidermidis. The record is from RNAcentral. Lineage: Bacteria; Bacillati; Bacillota; Bacilli; Caryophanales; Staphylococcaceae.
ACACCUGUUCCCAUGCCGAACACAGAAGUUAAGCUCCUUAGCGCCGAUGGUAGUCGGACUGACGUUCCGCUAGAGUAGGGCGUUGCCAGGC